This 67-nucleotide transfer RNA is filed under the name Eubasilissa sinensis. Its description in RNAcentral is "tRNA-Tyr". It matches the Rfam family "tRNA". From Rfam's summary of the family: Transfer RNA (tRNA) molecules are approximately 80 nucleotides in length. Their secondary structure includes four short double-helical elements and three loops (D, anti-codon, and T loops). Further hydrogen bonds mediate the characteristic L-shaped molecular structure. tRNAs have two regions of fundamental functional importance: the anti-codon, which is responsible for specific mRNA codon recognition, and the 3' end, to which the tRNAs corresponding amino acid is attached (by aminoacyl-tRNA synthetases). tRNAs cope with the degeneracy of the genetic code in two manners: having more than one tRNA (with a specific anti-codon) for a particular amino acid; and 'wobble' base-pairing, i.e. permitting non-standard base-pairing at the 3rd anti-codon position. Lineage: Eukaryota; Metazoa; Arthropoda; Insecta; Trichoptera; Phryganeidae. The record is from RNAcentral.
AGUAAAAUGGCUGAAUAUUAGGCAAUAAAUUGUAAAUUUAUUAAUAAGAAUUAAUUCUUUUUUACUA